GACGAACGCUGGCGGCGUGCCUAAUACAUGCAAGUCGAGCGGACGGAUGGGAGCUUGCUCCCAGACCGUCAGCGGCGGACGGGUGAGUAACACGUGGGCAACCUGCCUGUAAGACUGGGAUAACUCCGGGAAACCGGGGCUAAUACCGGAUAACUCUUUCCCUCACAUGAGGGAAAGCUGAAAGAUGGCAUCUCGCUAUCACUUACAGAUGGGCCCGCGGCGCAUUAGCUAGUUGGUGAGGUAACGGCUCACCAAGGCGACGAUGCGUAGCCGACCUGAGAGGGUGAUCGGCCACACUGGGACUGAGACACGGCCCAGACUCCUACGGGAGGCAGCAGUAGGGAAUCUUCCGUAAUGGACGAAAGUCUGACGGAGCAACGCCGCGUGAGUGAUGAAGGUUUUCGGAUCGUAAAACUCUGUUGUCAGGGAAGAACAAGUACCGGAGUAACUGCCGGUACCUUGACGGUACCUGACCAGAAAGCCACGGCUAACUACGUG
Molecule: ribosomal RNA, 498 nt
Filed under: uncultured bacterium
Lineage: Bacteria
Description: partial 16S ribosomal RNA
Rfam family: Bacterial small subunit ribosomal RNA
Source: RNAcentral